This 492-nucleotide ribosomal RNA is filed under the name uncultured bacterium. RNAcentral describes it as "partial 16S ribosomal RNA". It matches the Rfam family "Bacterial small subunit ribosomal RNA", at positions 29 to 507 of the family's 1533-position model. The record is from RNAcentral.
AGUGAACGCUGGCGGUAGGCCUAACACAUGCAAGUCGAACGGCAGCACAGUAAGAGCUUGCUCUUACGGGUGGCGAGUGGCGGACGGGUGAGGAAUACAUCGGAAUCUACUUUUUCGUGGGGGAUAACGUAGGGAAACUUACGCUAAUACCGCAUACGACCUACGGGUGAAAGCAGGGGAUCUUCGGACCUUGCGCGAUUGAAUGAGCCGAUGUCGGAUUAGCUAGUUGGCGGAGUAAAGGCCCACCAAGGCGACGAUCCGUAGCUGGUCUGAGAGGAUGAUCAGCCACACUGGAACUGAGACACGGUCCAGACUCCUACGGGAGGCAGCAGUGGGGAAUAUUGGACAAUGGGCGCAAGCCUGAUCCAGCCAUACCGCGUGGGUGAGGAAGGCCUUCGGGUUGUAAAGCCCUUUUGUUGGGAAAGAAAAGCAGCAGGUUAAUACCCCGCUGUUCUGACGGUACCCAAAGGAUAAGCACCGGCUAACUUCGUG